UCGAGAAUAUUCCACAAUGGACGAAAGUCUGAUGGAGCGACGCCGCGUGCAGGAUGAAGGUAUUCGUAUUGUAAACUGCUUUUUUUAGGGAUGAAUUUCGAUGACAGUACCUAAAGAAUAAGAGGUUACUAACUCUGUGCCAGCAGUAGCGGUAAUACAGAGACCUCAAGCGUUAUCCGGAUUUAUUGGGCGUAAAGAGCUGGUAGGUGGUUAUAUUAGUCAGAUGUCAAAUCUCGGGGCUUAACUCCGAAACUGCAUUUGAAACGGUAUAACUAGAGGGUGUGAGAGAUCUAUGGAACUCAUGGUGUAGCAGUGAAAUGCGUUGAUAUCAUGAGGAACACCAAAGGCGAAGGCAUUAGAUUGGCACACUCCUGACACUGAGCAGCGAAAGCGUGGGUAG
Molecule: ribosomal RNA, 400 nt
Filed under: uncultured bacterium
Lineage: Bacteria
Description: bacterial SSU rRNA
Rfam family: Bacterial small subunit ribosomal RNA
Source: RNAcentral